RNAcentral lists this ribosomal RNA (297 nucleotides) under Monhystera sp. MM-1_R4_NF1. Its description in RNAcentral is "partial small subunit ribosomal RNA". It matches the Rfam family "Eukaryotic small subunit ribosomal RNA", at positions 1344 to 1655 of the family's 1831-position model. The record is from RNAcentral. Lineage: Eukaryota; Metazoa; Nematoda; Chromadorea; Monhysterida; Monhysteridae.
UGGCCUACUAACUAGUGGCUGGAUCGGCUUCGGCCUGUCCAGUGUCACACUUCUUAGAGGGACAAGCAGUGUUCAGCUGCAUGAAAAAGAGCAAUAACAGGUCUGUGAUGCCCUUAGAUGUCCGGGGCUGCACGCGCGCUACACUGAAGGAAUCAGCGUGUGGGACUGCCUGGCUUGAAAGAGUUGGGUAAUCCGGUGAAAAUCCUUCGUGAUUGGGAUCGGGACUUGCAAUUAUUUCCCUUGAACGAGGAAUCCCUAGUAAGUACGGGUCAUCAGCUCGUGCUGAUUACGUCCCUG